Molecule: ribosomal RNA, 464 nt
Filed under: uncultured bacterium
Lineage: Bacteria
Description: bacterial SSU rRNA
Rfam family: Bacterial small subunit ribosomal RNA
Source: RNAcentral
ACCAGACUCCUACGGGAGGCAGCAGUGAGGAAUAUUGGUCAAUGGCCGGAAGGCUGAACCAGCCAAGCCGCGUGAAGGACGAAGGUGCCAAGCAUUGUAAACUUCUUUUGUCAAGGGACAAAAUCAGGCUCGAGAGCCUGACCGAGGGUACUUGAAGAAAAAGCAUCGGCUAACUCCGUGCCAGCAGCCGCGGUAAUACGGAGGAUGCGAGCGUUAUCCGGAUUUAUUGGGUUUAAAGGGUGCGUAGGCGGUCCGGAAGGAGAGGGGUAAAGGGCGGGGGCUCACCCCGGGCGAGCCGUUGAAACUGUCGGACUAGAGACGGCGAGAAGUACGCGGAAUGCGUGGUGUAGCGGUGAAAUGCAUAGAUAUCGCGCAGAACUCCGAUUGCGAAGGCAGCGUACCGGCGCCGGACUGACGCUGAGGCACGAAAGCGUGGGUAUCGAACAGGAUUAGAUACCCGAGAA